GAACGCACAUUGCGCCCGCCAGUAUUCUGGCGGGCAUGCCUGUCUGAGCGUCAUUUCAACCCUCAUGCCCCUAGGGCGUGGUGUUGGGGAUCGGCCAAAGCCCGCGAGGGACGGCCGGCCCCUAAAUCUAGUGGCGGACCCGUCGUGGCCUCCUCUGCGAAGUAGUGAUAUUCCGCAUCGGAGAGCGACGAGCCCCUGCCGUUAAACCCCCAACUUUCCAAGGUUGACCUCAGAUCAGGUAGGAAUACCCGCUGAACUUAAG
Molecule: unclassified non-coding RNA, 262 nt
Filed under: uncultured Clonostachys
Lineage: Eukaryota; Fungi; Ascomycota; Sordariomycetes; Hypocreales; Bionectriaceae
Description: sequence contains 5.8S rRNA gene
Rfam family: 5.8S ribosomal RNA (bases 1-53)
Source: RNAcentral